Molecule: long non-coding RNA, 450 nt
Organism: Callorhinchus milii (elephant shark)
Lineage: Eukaryota; Metazoa; Chordata; Chondrichthyes; Chimaeriformes; Callorhinchidae
Exons: 3
Source: RefSeq, a predicted model, not a curated record
UUGCUCGCCCUGGCUGACCUGCACAGGCACUCACACACACCGACACACACACACCGCACAGACAAACCCUCACUGGCGAUCGCUGUACUCACCCCUGGCUGUGACGCUCACUGCUGCUGUUGCUCCCUGUGUUAGGAAACGUUGGUGAAUCUGGCCGGCCUCCUGUUUAGCCUCUUCCUCACGCCCCUGGUCACCGGUAACGCACGUCUAACCUACCUCCUCUUCGCCCUCUUCACCUCCCUCCACCUCUACGCCAAUUACCGGGCAGUGCGAGGGGUGGUGAUGGAGACCCUGAACCGCGCCAGGCUGGGCAUCGUGCUGAGACGCUACCUGAGAGAUGGCAUCGUGCCCAACCCGCGCUCCGUCAACCAGCAGGAGCCGUUACUGCCCGGGUUACACCCGCGUUCCUCUAUCAGAAUAGGAGCUCCGCUGCAUUACGUCAUUCGCAGG